Long non-coding RNA from Mus caroli (Ryukyu mouse), 1003 nucleotides. RefSeq lists it as uncharacterized. Lineage: Eukaryota; Metazoa; Chordata; Mammalia; Rodentia; Muridae. The record is from RefSeq and is a predicted model, not a curated record.
CAGUAGAGAGGAGGUAGGUUGGUAGGACCAGUCCUGUUGCAGGGAGGGAGGGAUACCGAAGCCCAGAACAGUUAGGAGAUUCAUCCCACACAUGCCAUGAGCCAACACCAAAGCCAGCUUAAGAGGCCACAGGAUGAAAAGCAAACCCGGGCCAGCAGCACUGAAUCAUGUCUCAGACUCAAGGAGCAAGCCUUUCACUCGCAGAAUGAAGGCUGGCAUGAUGCUCCUGGGGAAGGGCCCACCCUGCUAUCAGCAUAUUGCUCCCUGGCUCUGGAUUCUUUCGGGCCACAGGGCAGCUAAGGACAUUUUGGAACCACAUAAAGAUCUGAAGGUACAACCUGGACCACACACGGUGUGAGACUGCCAAGGUUGGUGCCUGUCUCCUAAAACUGGGGCUGCGUUCCCAGACCAGGACAGAGAAGGAAAAACCUGCUCUGUGGGCGUUGCUGUUCUGCUGAGAGGGAAGAGGUGCUGUGUGUAGGGUGGGUGCCAGUGGGUACUCAUCAAGGACACUCAUUCAAAAGGAAUUGGCGUCCACUGACCCACCCGGAGAACAGGCUCAGGAGCUGAAGUUCCUUCUCGCGGACUUUUGACAGACUAACCCCAAGGUCCUUCCCAGUGGCUCACAAAGGAAGGCCUUACACUGGUAUCAUUCAUAUAUAGCAGUGGAACUUCAGUGCCAGCUGCUAAGGACUCCAUGGGAUAGAACCCCAUGAUCCCAGGGCCUUGCCACUUUUCCAGUUGCCUCAAACCCGAAUCAUGAGACCCCGUCUUACCCUACUCUCCUCCAUGCGUUCUUGUCCCUGAAAGGAGCCCUGUGCAGAAGGCAGGGGAGAGGUGGCUGUGCAGGGCUGCCUGGGCUGACCCUGGCACCAGCAUAUUGCUUCUGGGCUCCAGUGAGCAAAGGGAGACAACUAGCCCCGCCCACUUAUACUCCCGUGGGAGGCAGCUAGCCCCGCCCAGUUAUACUCCUGUGGGAGGCAGCUAGCCCCGCCCACUCAUA